GUGAUAGACAAAAACGCAAAAAGAAUAAGGGUAUUUGAUUGAUUUACCCUUUUCCCACAAAGCCUUAUAAGAGGCUCAAUUUUGUUGUAAUUUAGUUCCAAAUAUCCUAACUCAAAAAUAGUAAAAGUAUUAGAAUUGUUAUUCCCUUUAAACCCUGUAGGACCUAAAGUUAGUAUUUUUCAUUACAAAAUCAAAUUUGACUUAUUGAAGUUAUCAUUUCGUAUUCCUUCAAAGUCUCUUGUCUCUU
RNAcentral lists this long non-coding RNA (247 nucleotides) under Phaseolus vulgaris (common bean). RNAcentral describes it as "long non-coding RNA (PVUL_LNC002373)". Lineage: Eukaryota; Viridiplantae; Streptophyta; Magnoliopsida; Fabales; Fabaceae. The record is from RNAcentral.